CAGAUGCAGUGGGAAUGUUUUUAUGGAGUCCAUCUCUGAUGAGUUUCUGGAAUCACGAUUGAGCCCAGACUCUUUAGAUCAAGCUUCAGCGCUCUUGCCGUUUCUGAGAAGAGGAGAUCCUCCCAGUGAAUCUCAAAAUUGACUGAAUUUUUCUAGAAGCUUGUAUGGUGACACAUUGAGGCUUGCAACUCCAGCCCAGCCCUCAGCGUUGGCGGAGCCUCUUUCCCUGAGGAUGUUGCUACCGCGGUGCAUCCGCAAAGGCCCGUGAGUUGGCUUGAGGAGCAGGUCAAGUUCUCUGGGAGGCAGACUCUGAAGUGGGGAUUUAUGUGCAGGAGGUUUGCUGGAGAGUUCUGUAAGGAAUCACACCUGAAGAUGCUGGAGCAGGACAGAGCUGAUGAAGAAACGGGGUAAUUUGAUGAGCUUUGUCUCAUCACUGCUGUAAGAAGAAGGAAAGUAUUUCCAUCAUGCUGGAAAGUUCUCUCAUCCAUUUGAUUCAAUUACUGGCCCUUCACCCUCCCCCAAUAAGAAAAAACUACUGAUCUUCUUUCUGUCCCCAUGUAUCUACAGACAAGCUCUGCCUUCUCUAGAAUUUGAUACACAUAGAA
Long non-coding RNA from Suricata suricatta (meerkat), 605 nucleotides. RefSeq lists it as uncharacterized. The record is from RefSeq and is a predicted model, not a curated record. Lineage: Eukaryota; Metazoa; Chordata; Mammalia; Carnivora; Herpestidae. The transcript has 3 exons.